GACAGAGGUGCCGAGCGUUAGGCGGAAUCACUGGGCUUAAAGCGUGUGUAGGCGGAUCGUUAAGUACCUUGUGAAAUCCCACGGCUCAACCGUGGAACUGCUGGGUAUACUGGCGGUCUUGAGCCACCUAGGGGCGAGCGGAACAAGCGGUGGAGCGGUGAAAUGCGUAGAUAUCGCUUGGAACGCCAACGGUGAAAACAGCUCGCUGGGGGUGUGCUGACGCUGAGACACGAAAGCCAGGGGAGCGAACGGG
This 253-nucleotide ribosomal RNA is filed under the name uncultured bacterium. Its description in RNAcentral is "partial 16S ribosomal RNA". It matches the Rfam family "Bacterial small subunit ribosomal RNA", at positions 524 to 776 of the family's 1533-position model. The record is from RNAcentral. RNAcentral also lists the same sequence under 1 other name.